AAACAGGCAAUGACGAGAGAAAGUACAAUCAUCAAUUUUUCCACAGAGAGCUUCGGUAGCUGAAAAGAAGCAAAAAUAAUGAUUCGAAAAAUGGUCUCUGAGCCUCGUACUGAACAUAUCUAUGAUAUUAGUAGGAUACGACGAGAGUUGGUACUCGUUAUCAAAACCACAGUAUAUGAGCCAGAUUGGAGCUUUGUACUUGUAGAGGCUGUUUAGCGCGAGCAAACAGUAAAUAAAGGUGGUACCACGAGACAAAUACCUCGUCCUUAUG
Molecule: non-coding RNA, 271 nt
Organism: Bacillus pumilus SAFR-032
Lineage: Bacteria; Bacillati; Bacillota; Bacilli; Caryophanales; Bacillaceae
Source: Rfam